RNAcentral lists this ribosomal RNA (254 nucleotides) under uncultured bacterium. RNAcentral describes it as "partial 16S ribosomal RNA". It matches the Rfam family "Bacterial small subunit ribosomal RNA", at positions 524 to 777 of the family's 1533-position model. The record is from RNAcentral.
UACGAAGGGGGCUAGCGUUGCUCGGAAUCACUGGGCGUAAAGGGUGCGUAGGCGGGUCUUUAAGUCAGGGGUGAAAUCCUGGAGCUCAACUCCAGAACUGCCUUUGAUACUGAGGAUCUUGAGUUCGGGAGAGGUGAGUGGAACUGCGAGUGUAGAGGUGAAAUUCGUAGAUAUUCGCAAGAACACCAGUGGCGAAGGCGGCUCACUGGCCCGAUACUGACGCUGAGGCGCGAAAGCGUGGGGAGCAAACAGGG